CUCCAUGACCAAACAGCCCUGGACAUGCCCAGUCUUAUCUGAUCUUGGAAGCUAAGCAGGGUCAGACAUACUGCGUAUUGGAUAGGAGACUGCCUGGAAAUACCCUGUGCUGUAGGCU
Molecule: ribosomal RNA, 118 nt
Organism: Vicugna pacos (alpaca)
Lineage: Eukaryota; Metazoa; Chordata; Mammalia; Artiodactyla; Camelidae
Source: Ensembl